RNAcentral lists this ribosomal RNA (413 nucleotides) under uncultured beta proteobacterium. RNAcentral's name for it is "bacterial SSU rRNA". It matches the Rfam family "Bacterial small subunit ribosomal RNA", at positions 9 to 429 of the family's 1533-position model. The record is from RNAcentral. Lineage: Bacteria; Pseudomonadati; Pseudomonadota; Betaproteobacteria.
GAGUUUGAUCGUGGCUCAGAUUGAACGCUGGCGGCAUGCCUUACACAUGCAAGUCGAACGACGCUAGGGGCAACUCUAGCGAGUGGCGAACGGGUGAGUAAUACAUCGGAACGUGUCCUGUCGUGGGGGAUAACCAGUCGAAAGACUGGCUAAUACCGCAUGACCUCGCAAGAGAAAAGCGGAGGACCGCAAGGCUUCGCGCGAUUGGAGCGGCCGAUGUCGGAUUAGCUAGUUGGCGGGGUAAUGGCCCACCAAGGCGACGAUCCGUAGCUGGUUUUGAGAGAACGACCAGCCACACUGGGACUGAGACACGGCCCAGACUCCUACGGGAGGCAGCAGUGGGGAAUUUUGGACAAUGGGGGCAACCCUGAUCCAGCCAUGCCGCGUGUGUGAAGAAGGCCUUCGGUUGUAAG